This 316-nucleotide ribosomal RNA is filed under the name Escherichia coli. RNAcentral describes it as "bacterial SSU rRNA". It matches the Rfam family "Bacterial small subunit ribosomal RNA", at positions 31 to 341 of the family's 1533-position model. The record is from RNAcentral. Lineage: Bacteria; Pseudomonadati; Pseudomonadota; Gammaproteobacteria; Enterobacterales; Enterobacteriaceae.
UGGAACGCUGGCGGCAGGCCUAACUCAUGCAACUCCAANGGUAACAGGAAACAGCUCGCUGUUUCGCUGACGAGUGGCGGACGGGUGAGUAAUGUCUGGGAAACUGCCUGAUGGAGGGGGAAAGCUACUGGGAACGGUACCUAAUACCGCAUAACGUCGCAAGACCAAAGAGGGGGACCUUCGGGCCUCUUGCCACCAGAUGUGCCCAGAUGGGAUUAGCUACUAGGUGGGGUAACGGCUCACCUAGGCGACGAUCCCUAGCUGGUCUGAGAGGAUGACCAGCCACUCUGGAACUGAGACACGGUCCAGACUCCUA